CCUACGGGGGGCAGCAGUAAGGAAUUUUGCGCAAUGGGGGAAACCCUGACGCAGCAACGCCGCGUGAAGGAUGAAGGCCUUCGGGUUGUAAACUUCUUUUAGUUGGGAAGAAAAAAAUGACGGUACCAACAGAAACAGCACCGGCUAACUCUGUGCCAGCAGCCGCGGUAAUACAGAGGGUGCUAGCGUUAUUCGGAUUUACUGGGCGUAAAGCGCGUGUAGGCGGUUCGACAAGUUUGGUGUGAAAGCCCUGGACUCAAUCCAGGAAGUGCAUUGAAUACUGUCGGACUAGAGUGCAGGAGAGGAGAGUGGAAUUCCUGGUGUAGAGGUGAAAUUCGUAGAUAUCAGGAGGAACAACAGAGGCGAAGGCGACUCUCUGGACUGCAACUGACGCUAAGGCGCGAAAGCGUGGGGAGCAAACAGGAUUAGAUACCCGGGUAGUC
RNAcentral lists this ribosomal RNA (443 nucleotides) under uncultured Pseudomonadota bacterium. RNAcentral describes it as "bacterial SSU rRNA". It matches the Rfam family "Bacterial small subunit ribosomal RNA", at positions 338 to 795 of the family's 1533-position model. The record is from RNAcentral. Lineage: Bacteria; Pseudomonadati; Pseudomonadota.